GUCUCUGCAGUGUAAUGGAUACCACGUUAGACUUCUAAUCCGAAGGUCGUGGUUUCGAAUUCCACCUGGGAUG
Trichonephila inaurata madagascariensis is the source of this 73-nucleotide non-coding RNA. NCBI's taxonomy places the organism in Eukaryota, Metazoa, Arthropoda, Arachnida, Araneae, Nephilidae. The record is from the annotation of a GenBank genome assembly.